This is a long non-coding RNA of Leptidea sinapis, 649 nucleotides long. RefSeq lists it as uncharacterized. NCBI's taxonomy places the organism in Eukaryota, Metazoa, Arthropoda, Insecta, Lepidoptera, Pieridae. The record is from RefSeq and is a predicted model, not a curated record. The transcript is spliced from 6 exons.
CAGUAACUAAUAUUUUUACAAUCAACACGGAAGUGAUUUUAUUCUAUUAUUAUUAACUUAUCAAAAGUAAAAUUUGCAGUAUGACUCGAAUCAAAUGUUCUAUAAUUGUUCUAAAAUAACUAUGUAGACUAAACAACUAAGAAAACUCCCAAAAAUGGCAGAAGGAAUAAUAGUUUUCGGAUUAUGGUAUAUUUUUAUAGGAAUUUGCUAUUUAAGGGGCACAUUGCCAAUUGAAGAAAUGAGACGAGAGGAAUUUUUAAGAGACGGCGGACCAUUACCAAAUAACACAAAUGUCCCAAAUGACCCGAAACAACCACCAUCAUCAACACCACCUCCACCGCCACCAUCAUCUUCGUCACCAACUUCUCCACCACCAAAAUCUUGAAAUGACGAGGCACGUUAUUAAAUUUAUACAAAGCUGUCCGAAAUGUGGUGGUCUUACGAAAUAUGGUGGAUGUUUGUUAUUUUGUCCCGCGUCAGUAAUAGGGUUCUGCGACCUGCCGCUGCGUGCCUGAGAUUAAAACGAAAAAGCCUCCGACUAGCAACACAAAAUGAGCUGAAAUAGCGAUUAAAAGCGUGGAACUACUUAUGCCGUCAACCAGGAUGCCGUUGUUUAUACAGAGAAAUAAUAAAUGUAUUUAAUGAAUAA